GAAAUGCGAUAAGUAAUGUGAAUUGCAGAAUUCAGUGAAUCAUCGAAUCUUUGAACGCACCUUGCGCUCCUUGGUAUUCCGAGGAGCAUGCCUGUUUGAGUGUCAUUAAAUUCUCAACCUCACCAGUUUUGUAACGAGACAGGUGAAGGCUUGGAUGUGGGGGUUUUGCAGGCUGCCUCAGUGCUGGUCUGCUCUCCUGAAAUGCAUUAGCGAGCUCAUAUUGAGCUUCCGUCUAUUGGUGUGAUAAUUAUCUACGCCGUGGAUUGGACUAAUGCCUGCUUCUAACCGUCCGCAAGGACAAUUUACUUGACCAAUUUGACCUCAAAUCAGGUAGGACUACCCGCUGAACUUAAGCAUAUCAAUAAGCGGAAGGAAAAGAAACUAACAAGGAUUCCCCUAGU
This 401-nucleotide ribosomal RNA is filed under the name uncultured Agaricaceae. Its description in RNAcentral is "eukaryotic LSU rRNA". The stretch from base 1 to 105 matches the Rfam family "5.8S ribosomal RNA", at positions 50 to 154 of the family's 154-position model. The record is from RNAcentral. Lineage: Eukaryota; Fungi; Basidiomycota; Agaricomycetes; Agaricales; Agaricaceae.